GGGAAAAGUUGAGCAACACCCACCCCAGAAUAAACUCACCCCUGUGGGGUGUCAGGGCAAGAAAUGUGGGCCAUUACCUGCCACUUUCAGCUCAAUCACUGCAUCACUGUAGAAGGAACCAUUUUUGAA
This is a long non-coding RNA of Pipistrellus kuhlii (Kuhl's pipistrelle), 129 nucleotides long. RefSeq lists it as uncharacterized. Lineage: Eukaryota; Metazoa; Chordata; Mammalia; Chiroptera; Vespertilionidae. The record is from RefSeq and is a predicted model, not a curated record. The transcript has 3 exons.